Molecule: ribosomal RNA, 398 nt
Filed under: uncultured bacterium
Lineage: Bacteria
Description: partial 16S ribosomal RNA
Rfam family: Bacterial small subunit ribosomal RNA
Source: RNAcentral
CCUACGGGUGGCAGCAGUGAGGAAUAUUGGUCAAUGGCCGGAAGGCUGAACCAGCCAAGCCGCGUGAGGGACGAAUGCCCUAAGGGUUGUAAACUUCUUUUAUAAGGGAAGAAUAAAUGGCACGUGUACCUUGACGCGUGUACUUUAUGAAUAAGCAUCGGCUAACUCCGUGCCAGCAGCCGCGGUAAUACGGAGGAUGCGAGCGUUAUCCGGAUUUAUUGGGUUUAAGGGGUGCGUAGGCGGGCUUUUAAGUUAGUGGUAAAAGGCCGGGGCUCAACCCUGAUUUGCCAUUGAAACUGGAAGACUCGAGAUGAGGCGAGGUAGGCGGAAUGAGUAGAGUAGCGGUGAAAUGCUUAGAUAUUGCGUAGAACUCCGAUGGCGAAGGCAGCAUACCGGCC